This 253-nucleotide ribosomal RNA is filed under the name uncultured bacterium. RNAcentral describes it as "partial 16S ribosomal RNA". It matches the Rfam family "Bacterial small subunit ribosomal RNA", at positions 524 to 776 of the family's 1533-position model. The record is from RNAcentral.
UACGUAGGGUGCGAGCGUUAAUCGGAAUUACUGGGCGUAAAGCGUGCGCAGGCGGUUUUGUAAGCCAGAUGUGAAAUCCCCGGGCUUAGCCUGGGAAUGGCAUUUGGGACUGCAAGGCUUGAGUGCGGCAGAGGAGACUGGAAUUCCUGGUGUAGCAGUGAAAUGCGUAGAUAUCAGGAGGAAUACCGAUGGCGAAGGCAGGUCUCUGGGCUGACACUGACGCUCAUGCACGAAAGCGUGGGGAGCAAACAGG